GACAGAGGGGGCAAGCGUUGCUCGGAAUUACUGGGCGUAAAGGGCGCGUAGGCGGGAUGGCAAGUCGGUCGUGAAAUCCUUCGGCUCAACCGAAGAACGUCGAUCGAUACUGCUGUUCUUGAGGGUUGCAGAGGAGACUGGAAUUCCCGGUGUAGCGGUGAAAUGUGUAGAUAUCGGGAGGAACACCGGUGGCGAAGGCGGCGACCUGGGUAGAUACUGACGCUGAGGUGCGAAAGCGUGGGGAGCAAACAGG
Molecule: ribosomal RNA, 253 nt
Filed under: uncultured bacterium
Lineage: Bacteria
Description: partial 16S ribosomal RNA
Rfam family: Bacterial small subunit ribosomal RNA
Source: RNAcentral